UACGUAGGGGGCAAGCGUUGUCCGGAAUCAUUGGGCGUAAAGCGCGUGUAGGCGGCUUGGUAAGUCUGCUGUGAAAGCCCGGGGCUCAACCCCGGGAGGCGGGUGGAUACUGUCAAGCUCGAGUCCGGAAGAGGAGUGUGGAAUUCCUGGUGUAGCGGUGAAAUGCGCAGAUAUCAGGAGGAACACCAAUGGCGAAGGCAGCACUCUGGGACGUGACUGACGCUGAGGCGCGAAAGCGUGGGGAGCAAACGGG
This 253-nucleotide ribosomal RNA is filed under the name uncultured bacterium. Its description in RNAcentral is "partial 16S ribosomal RNA". It matches the Rfam family "Bacterial small subunit ribosomal RNA", at positions 524 to 776 of the family's 1533-position model. The record is from RNAcentral.